AUUGUUUAUAUUGUAUUAUAACAAUAAUAUAUAAUACAAAAUUAUAUCACUAGUAAGUAUGAUAAAUAAUAUUUCAGUAAAUUAGAAAAAGUAUGGAGAUGAAGUGUUUUUCUUUUUGUUUGUUGUUAUGAGACAGAUGGCUGAGUCCAGCCAUCUCAAGACAUGUGCUGCCAGGUUCGAAACUAAAUUCAUAUUUACAGGCUCCAAAACCCACUCCAAUUCUGAUUCUUCAGGUGAUUCAUGUAUGACUUUUAAUCAGGAAAUAGUGUAAAGAUGAAAGUGGCUGAUAAUCUAAACUAAGCACACAAUUCAUAAAUUUGUUGCCUGUCAUGACUUAUAUUGACUAUGAGCAGCUUUCCCCCUCUUUUGAUCCUGUAUAAUUCUGAAUUUGGUGCCAGACGUCCAGGAGGAGGUCUGAAUGCAAAAGCUGAGUUGAGAACCCUGAACCCAGGUGUCCUGCAUAAGGCUGAGUCACUAGUGUUUACUUUCUUGGUCAAAACCCCAUGUCCCUCCUCUAAUCCACUGAUAAGGGAUGUCUUCCUCCUCUAUCUUACUGUAGCUUAUCAGGUCUCAUCAAAACUGUCUGGAUCUACUUUCCCUGUUGCUUAGUUUAGCCACCUUGACUAGUGGAAGUGAUCAAAGAGCUAUCAAACUGGUCAAAGUCUGACUGCCCCUGCUCCCUUUCCUAGGAGAAAUCAAAUGUUCAAACCACUCUCACAACAGCAAUCCAAAACAAACAAGCUGUUUUUGGAUGAACUACAAUUUUGUCUCAGACUCUGGUCCUCUCCAAAGUCACUGUGGACCAUGAUGAAAUCGUACAGAUUGUUGAAGAAAGAACCAAACAUGUUUUUCACCCACAUGGAGGAACCAGGUGUAGAGCCCCAGGGCUAUGGGAUUCCAAGAGUACAUGGAUGAGAGGAAAACAGAACAAUAAAAAGACAGCAAAUUCAGAGCAAGUCUGGCUACAGCAACAGAAAUAUCUCAGUACUGUGACCCUCAGAUGUCUGGACUUUGCUGCAGUGUGUGUGCUGGCCUCUCAUGAGAACCAUUGUGUAUGCACAGACUGAGAGCCUGAAGCAACAGUAGGAAGCAGCUGUAGCAUUCAAAGUCUUCUCUGAUAUUGUUGAGCCUCCUCCUACAACCUGUGUAUGCAUCGAUGGAGUUUCCUCUGUUCACUUGUGGUUAUAAAGGAGAGACCAACACCUACAUGGAGGCAGAUGUUAACCUCGCUACAUUUAUUCCCAUUUCCAUCCCACUUGAUCUAUCACAAUACCUCCAUAUCCUUUUUGACAGAAAACCAACUCUACUAUGGAAGUUCGACCUAGUGACUUGGAGAAACUAUCAAUAUUUGCUGACCUUAUACUUUGCCAUUGAAGAGAUAAAUAAGGACUCAAACCUGCUUCCCAAUAUGACCUUGGGUUCCCACAUCUACAAUGCUUUUAAUUCUAACAAAAUAACCUUGGAGGACCCUCUGAUAUGGCUGUCUGGAAGGAGUCACAUAUGGACCAUUUGAUUCCAUGCUUAGUGACAAAGAUACAUUUGCAUUCCUUUAUCAGAUGUCUACUGAAGACAGAGGUCUAGCCCAAGGGCUGAUCUCUUUAUUGCUCCACUUUGGCUGGAAGUGGGUGGGGAUCAUUGUGUCUGAUGAUCAGAGAGGAAGGGAGUUUCUCUCUGACCUGAAAGUAAAGAUGGUAACAGAAGAUAUCUG
Molecule: RNA transcript, 1708 nt
Organism: Meriones unguiculatus (Mongolian gerbil)
Lineage: Eukaryota; Metazoa; Chordata; Mammalia; Rodentia; Muridae
Gene name: vomeronasal type-2 receptor 26-like
Exons: 4
Source: RefSeq, a predicted model, not a curated record